RNAcentral lists this unclassified non-coding RNA (206 nucleotides) under Hevea brasiliensis (rubber tree). The record is from RNAcentral. Lineage: Eukaryota; Viridiplantae; Streptophyta; Magnoliopsida; Malpighiales; Euphorbiaceae.
AUCUAUGAAGCAAGCAUUGUUUUUCGUGAUUGAAGAAUAUAGACGACUUUUAUGGAGAGAUAACAUUUUGAAAUAUAGGAUCGGCAUUUGAUUUCCGAGUACAGCUUUUUCUUUUCUAUUUCAUUUGGUAUGAAAUGGUUCACUCUUCUUAAUUUCUUACAAAAUAUAUGCAAUGCAUAAAGUAGAAGUUGACAAGUUUCUUUAAA